AGCGGCGGACGGGUGAGUAACGCGUGGGUAACCUGCCUCAUACAGGGGGAUAACAGUUGGAAACGGCUGCUAAUACCGCAUAAGCGCACAGUACCGCAUGGUACCGUGUGAAAAACUCCGGUGGUAUGAGAUGGACCCGCGUCUGAUUAGCUAGUUGGUGGGGUAACGGCCUACCAAGGCGACGAUCAGUAGCCGACCUGAGAGGGUGACCGGCCACGUUGGGACUGAGACACGGCCCAA
Molecule: ribosomal RNA, 240 nt
Filed under: uncultured bacterium
Lineage: Bacteria
Description: partial 16S ribosomal RNA
Rfam family: Bacterial small subunit ribosomal RNA
Source: RNAcentral